GCUCUGUGUGGCCCUUACAUGAUACAUAGCUCAGUCGGCAGAACACAAGACUCGUAACUUCAGGGUCGUGUGUUCAAGCCCCACAUUGAGCA
Non-coding RNA from Podarcis lilfordi (Lilford's wall lizard), 92 nucleotides. The record is from the annotation of a GenBank genome assembly. NCBI's taxonomy places the organism in Eukaryota, Metazoa, Chordata, Lepidosauria, Squamata, Lacertidae.